GAAACUGAGGCCCAGAGAAAUAAAUCCACUCUCCUGAAGUCAAACGGCAAGAUAGUCAAAAUCCGGAUUUGAUGCAGAAUUCUUGAAUUGACCGCUAUCUAUAGCCUUUGAGCAAAGGCUCAUGCUCUCUAAACAGUCCAUCAACACUCUCUCUGAUCACAGACUUCGCCCUGAUUGAGUGGGGAGACGUCAGCCAAGGAGGAAAACAUGUGGAGAAUCUGUGAACCAUGUGUGUCAUUCCCGAUGUCAACAUGUAAGGAAAUAUGGGAGCGGCCUCACAUUGGUGCAUUUCCCCUCUAGCUCCCAGAAUGGAAAAGGGCACCGCUCGCUUUUGAAAAUAUGUAUUUAGGAUUACCGUUGCUGGUGUCGCGGUAAGGACGAUGAUGAAAAUACACAGGAUUCUGUGUCGGUCCCACAUCAAUACAACAAGACCACCUGCCCCUCCCACCCCCAGGGACUAAUGUAACACCAGUAAAGUGUGUGUGUAACUAACA
Long non-coding RNA from Suricata suricatta (meerkat), 494 nucleotides. RefSeq lists it as uncharacterized. The transcript is spliced from 2 exons. The record is from RefSeq and is a predicted model, not a curated record. Lineage: Eukaryota; Metazoa; Chordata; Mammalia; Carnivora; Herpestidae.